RNAcentral lists this ribosomal RNA (292 nucleotides) under uncultured bacterium. RNAcentral's name for it is "partial 16S ribosomal RNA". It matches the Rfam family "Bacterial small subunit ribosomal RNA", at positions 505 to 796 of the family's 1533-position model. The record is from RNAcentral.
GUGCCAGCAGCCGCGGUAAAACGUAGGAGGCGAGCGUUAUCCGGAUUUACUGGGCGUAAAGCGCGUGCAGGCGGUUCGGCGAGUUGGAUGUGAAAGCUCCUGGCUUAACUGGGAGAGGUCGUUCAAUACUGCCGAACUAGAGAGUGGUAGAGGGAGGUGGAAUUCCGCAUGUAGUGGUGAAAUGCGUAGAUAUGCGGAGGAACACCAGUGGCGAAAGCGGCCUCCUGGCCCAUUUCUGACGCUCAGACGCGAAAGCUAGGGUAGCAAACGGGAUUAGAUACCCGGGUAGUCC